GACGAACGCUGGCGGCGUGCUUAACACAUGCAAGUCGAACGGUGACGAAUGGAGCUUGCUCUGUUCUGAUCAGUGGCGAACGGGUGAGUAACACGUGAGUAACCUGCCCCUGACUCUGGAAUAACUUCGGGAAACCGAAGCUAAUACCGGAUAUGACACAGAGCCGCAUGGUUUCUGUGUGGAAAGUUUUUCGGUUGGGGAUGGACUCGCGGCCUAUCAGCUUGUUGGUGAGGUAAUGGCUCACCAAGGCGACGACGGGUAGCCGGCCUGAGAGGGCGACCGGCCACACUGGGACUGAGACACGGCCCAGACUCCUACGGGAGGCAGCAGUGGGGAAUA
RNAcentral lists this ribosomal RNA (339 nucleotides) under uncultured bacterium. RNAcentral's name for it is "bacterial SSU rRNA". It matches the Rfam family "Bacterial small subunit ribosomal RNA", at positions 28 to 363 of the family's 1533-position model. The record is from RNAcentral.